UACGUAGGGGGCAAGCGUUGUCCGGAUUUAUUGGGCGUAAAGCGCGCGCAGGCGGUCUACCAAGUUCGGAGUGACAGUUUCCGGCUUAACCGGAAAAGGUCUUCGAAAACUGGUGGACUUGAGGACUUGAGGGGGAGACGGAAUUCCGGGUGUAGCGGUGGAAUGCGUAGAGAUCCGGAGGAAGACCGGUGGCGAAGGCGGCCUGCUGGGCAGUUUCUGACACUGAUGCGCGACAGCGUGGGGAGCAAACAGG
This 253-nucleotide ribosomal RNA is filed under the name uncultured bacterium. Its description in RNAcentral is "partial 16S ribosomal RNA". It matches the Rfam family "Bacterial small subunit ribosomal RNA", at positions 524 to 776 of the family's 1533-position model. The record is from RNAcentral.